AACGAACGCUGGCGGCAUGCCUAACACAUACAAGUCGAACGAGACCUUCGGGCCUAGUGGCGCACGGGUGCGUAACGCGUGGGAACCUGCCCUUAGGUUCGGAAUAACUCCCCGAAAGGGGUGCUAAUACCGGAUAAUGUCUUCGGACCAAAGAUUUAUCGCCUUUGGAUGGGCCCGCGUUGGAUUAGCUAGUUGGUAGGGUAAAAGCCUACCAAGGCGACGAUCCAUAGCUGGUCUGAGAGGAUGAUCAGCCACACUGGGACUGAGACACGGCCCAGACUCCUACGGGAGGCAGCAGUGGGGAAUAUUGGACAAUGGGCGAAAGCCUGAUCCAGCAAUGCCGCGUGAGUGAUGAAGGCCUUAGGGUUGUAAAGCUCUUUUACCCGGGAUGAUAAUGACAGUACCGGGAGAAUAAGCUCCGGCUAACUCCGUG
This 433-nucleotide ribosomal RNA is filed under the name uncultured bacterium. RNAcentral's name for it is "partial 16S ribosomal RNA". It matches the Rfam family "Bacterial small subunit ribosomal RNA", at positions 29 to 507 of the family's 1533-position model. The record is from RNAcentral.